AUAAAUUGCCACCAAACAGGUGCCUCUUUAACUAGAGGAGAAUAGGGAAGUUCGGAAGGGAAGCAUAUUCCUUAAACGACGCGGUCGCGCCACUGUAAUCGGGGAGAAAGUCCUGCAAAUGCCACUGGGAAACCAGGAAGGCGCAGGAAUUUUAAAGAUCCGUAAGUCAGGAGACCUGCCUGUUAUGGCUGUCAUCU
This 197-nucleotide non-coding RNA is filed under the name Pelosinus fermentans. The record is from RNAcentral. Lineage: Bacteria; Bacillati; Bacillota; Negativicutes; Selenomonadales; Sporomusaceae.